This 497-nucleotide ribosomal RNA is filed under the name uncultured bacterium. Its description in RNAcentral is "partial 16S ribosomal RNA". It matches the Rfam family "Bacterial small subunit ribosomal RNA", at positions 28 to 507 of the family's 1533-position model. The record is from RNAcentral.
GAUGAACGCUGGCGGCGUGCCUAAUACAUGCAAGUCGAGCGAACAGAUGAGGAGCUUGCUCCUCUGACGUUAGCGGCGGACGGGUGAGUAACACGUGGAUAACCUACCUAUAAGACUGGGAUAACUUCGGGAAACCGGAGCUAAUACCGGAUAAUAUAUUGAACCGCAUGGUUCAAUAGUGAAAGACGGUUUUGCUGUCACUUAUAGAUGGAUCCGCGCCGCAUUAGCUAGUUGGUAAGGUAACGGCUUACCAAGGCAACGAUGCGUAGCCGACCUGAGAGGAUGAUCGGCCACACUGGAACUGAGACACGGUCCAGACUCCUACGGGAGGCAGCAGUAGGGAAUCUUGCGCAAUGGGCGAAAGCCUGACGGAGCAACGCCGCGUGAGUGAUGAAGGUCUUCGGAUCGUAAAACACUGUAAGUAGGGAAGAAGAAAAGUGUAAGUAACUAUGCAUGUCUUGACGUUACCUACUCAGAAAGCCACGGCUAACUACGUG